RNAcentral lists this ribosomal RNA (411 nucleotides) under Passiflora organensis. Lineage: Eukaryota; Viridiplantae; Streptophyta; Magnoliopsida; Malpighiales; Passifloraceae. The record is from RNAcentral.
GUCCUCCCAACAGAACAAACCCCCCGGCGUAAAAUGCGCCAAGGAAUCUUAAAUGAAAAGAGAAGGUAACCAGCACCCUAGCGUGCCGGGAAACGAAUUUGCCAGGGGCGCUGGUUUCCUUUGUUAAAAAAUUAAUGAAUUUUCGCCACCGAUUUUCUGGCUUUUCCCUUCAUUAAAAAACUUACCAAAUGGCAUUCUUGGGGGUAAUUGGAGAAUCCCGUGGACCAUUCAAUUUUUGAACCCAAGUUGCGCCCAAAGGCUUUCGGGCCAAGGGACGUUUGGCUGGGGGGCAUGGUCCGGUGGCCCCUUCAAAUUCCUUUGGGGGGAAAAUCGAAUUAGGGGGGAAAAUGGGCUUCCCGGGGGCCCCGGUUCGGGGUGGGCCAAAUUUGAAUUCUUUGGGAAUAUGGCCCC